Long non-coding RNA from Astyanax mexicanus (Mexican tetra), 1514 nucleotides. RefSeq lists it as uncharacterized. NCBI's taxonomy places the organism in Eukaryota, Metazoa, Chordata, Actinopteri, Characiformes, Acestrorhamphidae. The transcript is spliced from 3 exons. The record is from RefSeq and is a predicted model, not a curated record.
GUUAAAAUACUUCUAUCAAACAUACCUCCUGAAGCACCAUUAUCUGGUCUAAUUUAAACAGCUAAAAGUGGAAAGCUACUCAAAUCUAAGUAUGGAUUUUUCAGGGCAUCGGCUCACACUGAAGAAUUAAAUACCAUUUAUUCUUUCACAUGAAUUUGAAUAUUUUAUUUUGGAAAACAAACCCUGAUUGACUGGCCACACACACAUACAUACAAGACGUAUCAGGAGUGGGACAUCACGUCAGACAGCAGAAUAAAGAGUGAUGUCUGUUGUCGGGACAUUGAACUGUUAGCAGCGAAUCUUUGACCUUAUUACGUGCUGCGGGAGCUCUCUCGUGCUACCGAGUUUGUGUUUAUAUCCCGCCUUGGGCAGAUGUGCAGGUGGUGUGGGACCUCAUCCACUCCACUGGCACCUUCUAUGUGAUUUCUGGUGAUUUAAUCCUGUUACACUGGAAUCUACCCUGUCUGCCUUUUCCCAGUUUGUGACACCAGGGAAACAGGACCAUAGACCUGCUGUAUGCUAAUGUGAGGGAUGCACACAGGGCUAUCCCACUGCUGGGGAAAUCAGAUGACAAUCUGGUCUUCCUACAGCCUCAGUACAAAUCACUGGUACUGAGGCAGCCCACUACCACACGCUCAUUCAGACUGGUCUCCUAAGGAAGCAGAAGAAGCACUCAAAGAACUGCUAUGACGCCACUGACUGGAGCUUGCUGCUUCAGCCACAUGAAGAGAGAGGACAUUGAGAUGGUGACUCACUGUUACUGACUUCUUGAAUUUCUGUAUGGAUGUUGCUGCUCCCACAAAGACUGUACGCUGCUUCCUAAACAAUAAACCAUGGAUUACUUCCUUCACCCAGGGAAGGCAGCUGGCUCGGACAGAGUGUGCCUCAGUAUGCUCAAGGCAUUUGCUGUUCAACUAGGUGAGCCCCUCCAACAUGUGUUUAACCUGAGUCUGCAUCUUGGGAGGGUUCUUGCCACGUGGAAGACAACCUGCCUCAUUCCAGUUUCCAAGAAGGCACACCCGAAAGAGCUGAAUGACUACAGACCAGUUGCUUAGACAUCUCAUGUGAUGAAGACCUUGAAGCAACUGCUGCUGGACCACCUCAGACCUCAGGUCCACCAUGCUAAGGACCCACUGCAGUUUGCAUACCAUGAUAAGGUGGGAGUGCACAGUGCUCACUCUCACCUGGACAAACGUUCUUCGACUUCUCCAGUGCCUUCAACACAAUCCAGCCCCGACUACUGAGAAACAAGCUGCUGAACAUGGAGUUGGAUAUGCACCUGGUCACCUGGAUCACUGACUACCCUACUGGGAGACAACAGCAUGUCAGGUAAAUGUUCCCCUCAGUUUCCUCAGCGCUCCUGUUCUGAUGGGAAUAGCACUAAACCACACCAGCGCAGGACGACCCAGUGCAGAGUUUUACAUCAGGUGUUCUCUGACGAUGGAGGAGGUGAAGGACUUUUACUGGCGAGGAGGUCCAGAAGCUCAUGAAUCUACUGAUAUAGUGUGUGUGAA